GCCAGCGUAGCUCAGAGGCUAGAGCGACGGUUUUGUAAACCGUGGGUCGUGGGUUCGACUCCCACCGCUGGCU
Molecule: transfer RNA, 73 nt
Filed under: Candidatus Moranbacteria bacterium CG_4_10_14_3_um_filter_44_15
Lineage: Bacteria; Candidatus Moraniibacteriota
Description: tRNA-Thr
Rfam family: tRNA
About the family: Transfer RNA (tRNA) molecules are approximately 80 nucleotides in length. Their secondary structure includes four short double-helical elements and three loops (D, anti-codon, and T loops).
Source: RNAcentral